AACGAACGCUGGCGGCAUGCCUAACACAUGCAAGUCGAACGAGACCUUCGGGUCUAGUUGCGCACGGGUGCGUAACGCGUGGGAACCUGCCCUUAGGUUCGGUAUAACUCCCCGAAAGGGGUGCUAAUACCGGUGAAUGUCUUCCGACCAAAGAUUUAUCGCCUUUGGAUGGGCCCGCGUUGGAUUAGCUAGUUGGUAGGGUAAAAGCCUACCAACGCGACGUUGCAUAGCUGGUCUGAGAGGAUGAUCAGCCACAAUGGGACUGAGACACGGCCCAGACUCCUACGGGAGGCAGCAGUGGGGAAUAUUGGACGAUGGGCGAAAGCCUGAUACAGCCAUGCCGCGUGAGUGAUGAAGGCCUUAGGGUUGUAAAGCUCUUUUACCCGGGAUGAUAAUGACAGUACCGGGAGAAUAAGCUCCGGCUAACUACGUG
Molecule: ribosomal RNA, 433 nt
Filed under: uncultured bacterium
Lineage: Bacteria
Description: partial 16S ribosomal RNA
Rfam family: Bacterial small subunit ribosomal RNA
Source: RNAcentral